RNAcentral lists this ribosomal RNA (523 nucleotides) under Aspergillus fumigatus. RNAcentral's name for it is "eukaryotic LSU rRNA". The stretch from base 142 to 295 matches the Rfam family "5.8S ribosomal RNA". The record is from RNAcentral. Lineage: Eukaryota; Fungi; Ascomycota; Eurotiomycetes; Eurotiales; Aspergillaceae.
GUAUCUUGUUGCUUCGGCGGGCCCGCCGUUUCGACGGCCGCCGGGGAGGCCUUGCGCCCCCGGGCCCGCGCCCGCCGAAGACCCCAACAUGAACGCUGUUCUGAAAGUAUGCAGUCUGAGUUGAUUAUCGUAAUCAGUUAAAACUUUCAACAACGGAUCUCUUGGUUCCGGCAUCGAUGAAGAACGCAGCGAAAUGCGAUAAGUAAUGUGAAUUGCAGAAUUCAGUGAAUCAUCGAGUCUUUGAACGCACAUUGCGCCCCCUGGUAUUCCGGGGGGCAUGCCUGUCCGAGCGUCAUUGCUGCCCUCAAGCACGGCUUGUGUGUUGGGCCCCCGUCCCCCUCUCCCGGGGGACGGGCCCGAAAGGCAGCGGCGGCACCGCGUCCGGUCCUCGAGCGUAUGGGGCUUUGUCACCUGCUCUGUAGGCCCGGCCGGCGCCAGCCGACACCCAACUUUAUUUUUCUAAGGUUGACCUCGGAUCAGGUAGGGAUACCCGCUGAACUUAAGCAUAUCAAUAAGCGGGAGG